UACGUAGGGGGCAAGCGUUGUCCGGAAUUAUUGGGCGUAAAGCGCGCGCAGGCGGUUUCUUAAGUCUUGUGUUUAAUCCCGGGGCUCAACCUCGGUUCGCAUGGGAAACUGGGAAACUGGAGUGCAGGAGAGGAAAGUGGAAUUCCACGUGUAGCGGUGAAAUGCGUAGAGAUGUGGAGGAACACCAGUGGCGAAGGCGACUUUCUGGCCUGUAACUGACGCUGAGGCGCGAAAGCGUGGGGAGCAAAC
RNAcentral lists this ribosomal RNA (249 nucleotides) under uncultured Bacilli bacterium. RNAcentral describes it as "partial 16S ribosomal RNA". It matches the Rfam family "Bacterial small subunit ribosomal RNA", at positions 524 to 773 of the family's 1533-position model. The record is from RNAcentral. Lineage: Bacteria; Bacillati; Bacillota; Bacilli.